AACAGGAAUUCACACUUUUGCGCUUUUGAGAUAUUUUUAAUUUUUUUUAAAAAAAUAGAGAACGCAAAAUGCUUUCCGAAUCUUUGUUUUUUUCCUUUAAAUGAAUAGUUGUUUAUCGGUUCUAAGCUCUUGCCUAGUAAGGCUUUUUUGCUUUCACUUUAAUACUCAAGGGAGGAUGAUUCUUUAUUGCUAUAAAAGUUUAGAUUUUAAAAACAGCAUCAACCACUGUAGUGUACAAAUGAAUUUCAUUUGCCCGCCAAGCAGUUA
Molecule: non-coding RNA, 267 nt
Organism: Schizosaccharomyces pombe (fission yeast)
Lineage: Eukaryota; Fungi; Ascomycota; Schizosaccharomycetes; Schizosaccharomycetales; Schizosaccharomycetaceae
Source: the annotation of a GenBank genome assembly